UUAGGAAUCUUGCGCAAUGGGGGAAACCCUGACGCAGCGACGCCGCGUGAGUGAUGAAGGCCUUCGGGUCGUAAAACUCUUUCGAUGGGAACGAAAAAAAUGACGGUACCCAUAGAAGAAGCACCGGCUAACUCCGUGCCAGCAGCCGCGGUAAUACGGAGGGUGCGAGCGUUAUUCGGAAUUACUGGGCGUAAAGAGCUCGUAGGCUGUUUGAUAAGUCUGAUGUGAAAGCCCUGGACUCAAUCCAGGAAGUGCAUUGGAUACUGUCAGACUAGAGUAUAGGAGGGGUGAGUGGAAUUCCUGGUGUAGAGGUGAAAUUCGUAGAUAUCAGGAGGAACAACGGUGGCGAAGGCGACUCACUGGACUAUUACUGACGCUGAGGAGCGAAAGCGUGGGGAGC
RNAcentral lists this ribosomal RNA (400 nucleotides) under uncultured bacterium. RNAcentral's name for it is "bacterial SSU rRNA". It matches the Rfam family "Bacterial small subunit ribosomal RNA", at positions 355 to 769 of the family's 1533-position model. The record is from RNAcentral.